This 228-nucleotide ribosomal RNA is filed under the name uncultured Lactobacillus sp. RNAcentral's name for it is "partial 16S ribosomal RNA". It matches the Rfam family "Bacterial small subunit ribosomal RNA", at positions 135 to 355 of the family's 1533-position model. Lineage: Bacteria; Bacillati; Bacillota; Bacilli; Lactobacillales; Lactobacillaceae. The record is from RNAcentral.
UGCUCCAGAAUAGCUCUUGGAAACAGAUGCUAAUACCGGAUAACAACAGAUGAUGCCUAUCAACUGUUUAAAAGAUGGUUCUGCUAUCACUCUUGGAUGGACCUGCGGUGCAUUAGCUAGUUGGUAGGGUAACGGCCUACCAAGGCGAUGAUGCAUAGCCGAGUUGAGAGACUGAUCGGCCACAUUGGGACUGAGACACGGCCCAAACUCCUACGGGAGGCAGCAGUC